Molecule: long non-coding RNA, 616 nt
Filed under: Salmo salar (Atlantic salmon)
Lineage: Eukaryota; Metazoa; Chordata; Actinopteri; Salmoniformes; Salmonidae
Description: lncRNA (ENSSSAG00000102108.1)
Source: RNAcentral
GAGUCAGUCAUCUGCAAGAUAUGAAGAUGGAGAACAUUUGUACCCAACACAAACAACAUCCUUUCAUUCUUAUCCAUGUAAUAAUUUCACUUUAAGCGGCCAAGGAGGGAAAGGCUUGCUAAAAGAGAGGAACAAGAAGCCAAUAGUCCAUGGGGGAACAGAGACUGAAUCCUGGCAGAAAAGACUUGCUGAACCCCCUCUGGUGAAUGGCACCAUGAUGCCAGGUCAACUUUACCAGAUGAUGAAGCCCUUGACAGAUCCUCUUUAUUUUUGGGCACUAAUGGCCAUAAUGAUGACCUGAGUCCCAAUACUGUGAUUCAGAAUAAACCUCAAGAGUAAUGGCCUGUCUGACAGAAGCAUUCAUCACCUUGGGUCAGCAGAAGAGACCACUGCUCUGGUGGAUAAGCAGGCCUUGGACAAGGACCAAGUCACCAAAUGCCUUUAGUUAAUAGGUAGUACUGUGAGUGGUCAUUCAGUUUUCCAUUAUUUGCUGGUGAACUGGUAACUUGCUAACUGAAUUAUGGGUUUGGUUGUUUUCAUGCUCAGCAUUUUUUUUCACCAAAAGACAAAGGACCUAAUGACAUGGAGUCAAGGAGAUGCAAACUUAUAAAACGUG